GACGAACGCUGGCGGCGUGCUUAACACAUGCAAGUCGAACGGAAAGGCCCUGCUUUUGUGGGGUGCUCGAGUGGCGAACGGGUGAGUAACACGUGAGUAACCUGUCCUUGACUUUGGGAUAACUUCAGGAAACUGGGGCUAAUACCGGAUAGGAGCUCCUGCUGCAUGGUGGGGGUUGGAAAGUUUCGGCGGUUGGGGAUGGACUCGCGGCUUAUCAGCUUGUUGGUGGGGUAGUGGCUUACCAAGGCUUUGACGGGUAGCCGGCCUGAGAGGGUGACCGGCCACAUUGGGACUGAGAUACGGCCCAGACUCCUACGGGAGGCAGCAGUGGGGAAUAUUGCACAAUGGGCGGAAGCCUGAUGCAGCGACGCCGCGUGCGGGAUGACGGCCUUCGGGUUGUAAACCGCUUUCGCCUGUGACGAAGCGUGAGUGACGGUAAUGGGUAAAGAAGCACCGGCUAACUACGUG
This 468-nucleotide ribosomal RNA is filed under the name uncultured bacterium. Its description in RNAcentral is "partial 16S ribosomal RNA". It matches the Rfam family "Bacterial small subunit ribosomal RNA", at positions 28 to 507 of the family's 1533-position model. The record is from RNAcentral.